This 497-nucleotide ribosomal RNA is filed under the name uncultured bacterium. RNAcentral describes it as "partial 16S ribosomal RNA". It matches the Rfam family "Bacterial small subunit ribosomal RNA", at positions 28 to 507 of the family's 1533-position model. The record is from RNAcentral.
GACGAACGCUGGCGGCGUGCCUAAUACAUGCCAGUAGAACGCUGAAGAGAGGAGCUUGCUCUUCUUGGAUGAGUUGCGAACGGGUGAGUAACGCGUAGGUAACCUGCCUUGUAGCGGGGGAUAACUAUUGGAAACGAUAGCUAAUACCGCAUCACAAUGGAUGACACAUGACAUUUAUUUGAAAGGGGCAAUUGCCCCACUACAAGAUGGACCUGCGUUGUGUUAGCUAGUAGGUGAGGUAAUGGCUCACCUAGGCGACGAUACAUAGCCUACCUGGGAGGGUGGUCGACCACACUGGGACUGAGGAACGGCCCAGACUCCUACGGGGGGGAGCAGGAGGGGAUCUUCGGCAAUGGGGGCAACCCUGACCGAGCAACGCCGCGUGAGUGAAGAAAGUUUUCGGAUCGUAAAGCUCUGUUGUAAGUCAAGAACGGGUGUGAGAGUGGAAAGUUCACACUGUGACGGUAGCUUACCAGAAAGGAACGGCUAACUACGUG